GAUUUCUGGUAUGGCGCAUUUGGCCCGCUUCGGUUACGGAGUUGAGUGCCGUUUUGCGCCUGCCAUCCUUCUGGAAUACGACUCUCCCUUCAUUGGGUUGGGCCGGAAUCCAGAUCAUUUACUUUGAAAAAAUUAGAGUGUUUAAAGCAGGCUUACGCUAUGAAUACAUUAGCAUGGAAUAAUAAUUUAGGACUUUGGUCUUAUUUUGUUGGUUUCUAGGACUAAAGUAAUGAUUGAUAGGGAUAGUUGGGGGUGCUAGUAUUGGCCGGCCAGAGGUGAAAUUCUUGGAUUCGGUCAAGACUAACUUAUGCGAAAGCAUU
RNAcentral lists this ribosomal RNA (320 nucleotides) under uncultured Cercomonas. RNAcentral's name for it is "SSU rRNA". The stretch from base 103 to 320 matches the Rfam family "Eukaryotic small subunit ribosomal RNA", at positions 736 to 955 of the family's 1831-position model. The record is from RNAcentral. Lineage: Eukaryota; Cercozoa; Cercomonadida; Cercomonadidae.